RNAcentral lists this ribosomal RNA (960 nucleotides) under Triticum aestivum (bread wheat). RNAcentral's name for it is "partial small subunit ribosomal RNA". The record is from RNAcentral. Lineage: Eukaryota; Viridiplantae; Streptophyta; Magnoliopsida; Poales; Poaceae.
AUGGCGAACAAGUUCGAACACACAAAUGUGAUCACAAGGGAGUUUACAUACCAGUACCUGGAGGAAAUUACAGAUAAUUUUUCUGACAAAAACAUAAUUGGUAGUGGUGGGUAUGGAGUAGUUUACAAGGGAGUAUUGCCCAAUGGGGAAAAGAUUGCUCUCAAAAAGCUCUAUUGGAAGCAGGAUAUUGGUGACACAGAAUUUAGGAAUGAGUUUACUAACCUUAUGAGGGCCCAACAUCGAAAUAUUACCCAGUUGGUUGGCUACUGCUAUAAUCUAAGAGAACAACGUGUUGAGCAUAAUGGUGAAUAUAUUUCUGUUAGUGUUGAAGAAAGAGUCCUCUGCUUUGAAUACUUGCCGGAAAGCCUUGACAAGCAUAUUACCGAUAUAUCUGAUGGACUCGAUUGGAGCACACGUUUCAAAAUUAUUAAGGGAGUCUGUGAGGAUCCCAUUUACCAUCUUGACUUGAAACCCGACAAUAUAUUGCUGGACAAGAACAUGAUCCCUAAAAUUGGAGAUUUCGGUUUAUCGAAACUCUUCCUUCCAACGCAAACCAAUGACACAAGCCAAUUUGCAGGAACACCCGGAUACAUGCCACCGGAAUACAUAGAUAGAAGCGAAAUCACAUCAAAGUUUGAUGUAUUCAGUUUGGAUGUUGUCAUCAUACGGAUAAUGACGGGAAAGGAGGGUUUCUCCAGAGAAAUGUCCUCGCAAGUUUUUUUUGAGCAUGUACAUGAAAACUGGGGGAAGCGGCUGCAGGCAACAAUGUCAUCGCUUAAAUUAGAGGAAGUCAAGACAUGUAUCAAAAUAGCGUUGAAGUGUGUGGAGGUGGACAGUGAGAAAAGGCCUACUAUAGCCGAGAUUGUCUAUGAACUAAACCAUGUUGGUACCGCAGGAAGUUCGCCUAUAGAACAGGUAUAUAUAUUCGGAUCGGCUAUACACUGGAUUUAUAUAGCAUGA